UCAGUUGUGAAAGUUUGCGGCUCAACCGUAAAAUUGCAGUUGAUACUGGCUGUCUUGAGUACAGUAGAGGUGGGCGGAAUUCGUGGUGUAGCGGUGAAAUGCUUAGAUAUCACGAAGAACUCCGAUUGCGAAGGCAGCCUGCUAAGCUGCAACUGACAUUGAGGCUCGAAAGUGUGGGUAUCAAACAGGAUUAGAUACCCUGGUAGUCCACACGGUAAACGAUGAAUACUCGCUGUUUGCGAUAUACGGCAAGCGGCCAAGCGAAAGCGUUAAGUAUUCCACCUGGGGAGUACGCCGGCAACGGUGAAACUCAAAGGAAUUGACGGGGGCCCGCACAAGCGGAGGAACAUGUGGUUUAAUUCGAUGAUACGCGAGGAACCUUACCCGGGCUUAAAUUGCACUCGAAUGAUCCGGAAACGGUUCAGCUAGCAAUAGCGAGUGUGAAGGUGCUGCAUGGUUGUCGUCAGCUCGUGCCGUGAGGUGUCGGCU
This 489-nucleotide ribosomal RNA is filed under the name uncultured bacterium. RNAcentral describes it as "bacterial SSU rRNA". It matches the Rfam family "Bacterial small subunit ribosomal RNA", at positions 588 to 1080 of the family's 1533-position model. The record is from RNAcentral.